GACUCUCGGCAACAGAUAUCUCGGCUCUCGCGUCAAUGAAGAACAUAGCAAAAUGCGAUACUUGGUGUGAAUUGCAAAAUCUAGUAAACCAUCGAGUCUUUGAACGCAAGUUGCGCCCGAAGCCGUCAGGCCGGGGGCACGCCUGCCUAGGUGUCACGC
Molecule: ribosomal RNA, 159 nt
Filed under: Acacia pubifolia
Lineage: Eukaryota; Viridiplantae; Streptophyta; Magnoliopsida; Fabales; Fabaceae
Description: 5.8S ribosomal RNA
Rfam family: 5.8S ribosomal RNA
About the family: 5.8S ribosomal RNA (5.8S rRNA) is a component of the large subunit of the eukaryotic ribosome.
Source: RNAcentral